ACCUGGUAAACAUAGUGUUAUGGUACCACCUGAAUCCAUUUCGAACUCAGAAGUGAAACAUUUCAACGCCGAUGGUAGUGCAGGGCUUCCUUGUGUGAGAGUAGGACAUUGCCAGGU
Molecule: ribosomal RNA, 117 nt
Filed under: Buchnera aphidicola (Cinara tujafilina)
Lineage: Bacteria; Pseudomonadati; Pseudomonadota; Gammaproteobacteria; Enterobacterales; Erwiniaceae
Source: RNAcentral